GAUGAACGCUGGCGGCGUGCCUAAUACAUGCAAGUCGAGCGAACAGACGAGGAGCUUGCUCCUCUGACGUUAGCGGCGGACGGGUGAGUAACACGUGGAUAACCUACCUAUAAGACUGGGAUAACUUUGGGAAACUGGAGCUAAUACCGGAUAAUAUAUUGAACCGCAUGGUUCAAUAGUGAAAGACGGUUUUGCUGUCACUUCUCGAUGGAUCCGCGCCGCAUUAGCUAGUUGGUAAGGUAACGGCUUACCAAGGCGACGAUGCGUAGCCGACCUGAGAGGGUGAUCGGCAACACUGGAACUGAAACACGGUCCAGACUCCUACGGGAGGCAGCAGUAGGGAAUCUUCCGCAAUGGGCGAAAGCCUGACGGAGCAACGCCGCGUGAGUGAUGAAGGUCUUCGGAUCGUAAAACUCUGUUAUUAGGGAAGAACAAAUGUGUAAGUAACUAUGCACGUCUUGACGGUACCUAAUCAGAAAGCCACGGCUAACUACGUG
RNAcentral lists this ribosomal RNA (497 nucleotides) under uncultured bacterium. RNAcentral's name for it is "partial 16S ribosomal RNA". It matches the Rfam family "Bacterial small subunit ribosomal RNA", at positions 28 to 507 of the family's 1533-position model. The record is from RNAcentral.